GCAGCAAAUCUUGAACAACAUUUUUGAAAGUAACGUGAUAAAGAUGUCAAGGAUAUACAAGGAUAUACUUGUCACAUUGCUGACACGUGCGAAACUUGUAAUCUCUACAGCUCUCCAAAGUUUUAUACUUAUACACAAGCUGUUUCCCUCCUACUAAGAUUAUGGCAAUAAAAAAUCAUGCGUGGGCUUGUGAAAUUGGUGAUAUGUACAUGUAAGGAUCUGGC
Molecule: long non-coding RNA, 224 nt
Organism: Drosophila montana
Lineage: Eukaryota; Metazoa; Arthropoda; Insecta; Diptera; Drosophilidae
Exons: 3
Source: RefSeq, a predicted model, not a curated record